GGUGUUUUUCAAUCCCAAAAUCACGAUUUUACAUGUGUGUUUCUCAAGCUGACUGGAUUGUUUACGAUCUAAGAAGCUCCUCUAUUUGCAUACAUGAAGCGUUCAAAUCUAAAAUAUCAUCGGUUAAAGAUCGUAGCUACUCAAAAACCGCUUAAAAUGGACGGAAAAUGUGGAUUAUUUUGGUUCAGAUCCAAAUCAGUCCUAUAGGAGUUGAGGCAUUUUGAGCAAUUCGAUUUUUUUAGAAAAUUGUUGUUCAUUUACGAGCCAGAGGAAGAAAAUGUACCCUGACACAAAAGUGUAAAAGUUUUACCGUGAGUAUCGGCAGUAGGAAGAAUCAAUCCAAAAAACCUGCAUUUUUUUUUUCGAUUGGUUAUAGGCAGAUUUUUAAAUUUUAAGAACGAUAUUUUCCUACAUUGAUUUCUCUUCGCAGACAACAUUUAACUGCUCAAAAACUUAGUUAGUUACUAUAAAAAGGGGGCAGUAGUGCAAUGAUGAUUGUUUUUAAAUUUUCACUUUCCAAGUUCAAUAGCUGGAAAACUAUGAAAAAUUGACGAUUUCCUCAAGGCGACUUUUCUUAAGAAAAAUACCAGUUGAGGGUCUCUGCCGCUGUAGAUCAGGAUGUCAAAAAGACCGAGUGGAAGAAAAUGUGCGAUUACAAAAGAGUUUGAAGUUUUUCACUGUGAUAAUGAGCAUCGGGAAGAAUUUAAAACCAAAACAAGGAGCCGAAUGCGAAACAUCUAGAAUAAAAAUAGGGAAAAAGUAAAAGAAAGGAUGAUACCUGGGAAUAAAAAUGACGAAAACAGGACGCUACAAAGGGCAGAAUAACCAAAGGCAAACAACUGACCUCAAUAUUAUGGCAGAAAAACAUAAGACCAGAGACAAUCUUUAAAGAUGAUCCCAUAUUGAAACCCGUUAUGUGCCAAUUAAGACAAAAACUUUAGGACAAAUUACUAGCAGUUGAAAUGAAUUUUACCUUAAUGGCCAAGUAGUCAUCAUGGGUAAAGCUAAUUCUCUGGUGCGAGCUAGUAGUACUGCAACUUUUUCCAUUGCUGUUGUUGUAAACAGCCACGGUGUGCAGAUACAAAUUGAAAAUGGA
Molecule: long non-coding RNA, 1096 nt
Organism: Dendroctonus ponderosae (mountain pine beetle)
Lineage: Eukaryota; Metazoa; Arthropoda; Insecta; Coleoptera; Curculionidae
Exons: 2
Source: RefSeq, a predicted model, not a curated record